CUUUACACAUGCAAGUCGAACGGCAGCACGGACUUCGGUCUGGUGGCGAGUGGCGAACGGGUGAGUAACAUAUCGGAACGUAUCCAAUAAUGGGGGAUAACUAAUCGAAAGGUUGGCUAAUACCGCAUACGCCCUACGGGGGAAAGCUAGGGACCUUCGGGCCUGGCGUUAAUGGAGCGGCCGAUAUCUGAUUAGCUAGUUGGUGAGGUAAAGGCUCACCAAGGCGACGAUCAGUAGCUGGUCUGAGAGGACGACCAGCCACACUGGAACUGAGACACGGUCCAGACUCCUACGGGAGGCAGCAGUGGGGAAUUUUGGACAAUGGGCGCAAGCCUGAUCCAGCCAUUCCGCGUGAGUGAAGAAGGCCUUCGGGUUGUAAAGCUCUUUCGCAAGGGAAGAAAACUUAGCCACUAACAUUGGCUGAGGUUGACGGUACCUUGAUAAGAAGCACCGGCUAACUACGUG
Molecule: ribosomal RNA, 465 nt
Filed under: uncultured bacterium
Lineage: Bacteria
Description: bacterial SSU rRNA
Rfam family: Bacterial small subunit ribosomal RNA
Source: RNAcentral